GUGGGGAAUAUUGGACAAUGGGCGCAAGCCUGAUCCAGCCAUGCCGCGUGAGUGAUGAAGGCCUUAGGGUUGUAAAGCUCUUUCAGUGGGGACGAUAAUGACGGUACCCACAGAAGAAGCCCCGGCUAACUUCGUGCCAGCAGCCGCGGUAAUACGAAGGGGGCUAGCGUUGUUCGGAUUUACUGGGCGUAAAGCGCACGUAGGCGGAUCGUUAAGUCGGGGGUGAAAUCCUGGAGCUCAACUCCAGAACUGCCUUCGAUACUGGCGAUCUUGAGUGCGGAAGAGGUGAGUGGAACUCCUAGUGUAGAGGUGGAAUUCGUAGAUAUUAGGAAGAACACCAGUGGCGAAGGCGGCUCACUGGUCCGGUACUGACGCUGAGGUGCGAAAGCGUGGGGAGCAAACAGGAUUAGAAACCCGGGUAGUCC
RNAcentral lists this ribosomal RNA (425 nucleotides) under uncultured bacterium. RNAcentral's name for it is "bacterial SSU rRNA". It matches the Rfam family "Bacterial small subunit ribosomal RNA", at positions 354 to 796 of the family's 1533-position model. The record is from RNAcentral.